AAUAUUGGACAAUGGGGGCAACCCUGAUCCAGCCAUGCCGCGUGUGUGAAGAAGGUCUUCGUAUUNUAAAGCACUUUAAGUUGGGGNGAAGGGUUGUAGGUUAAUACCCUGCAAUUUUGACGUUACCAACAGAAUAAGCACCGGCUAACUUCGUGCCAGCAGCCGCGGUAAUACGAAGGGUGCAAGCGUUAAUCGGAAUUACUGGGCGUAAAGCGCGCGUAGGUGGUUCGUUAAGUUGGAAGUGAAAGCCCCGGGCUUAACCUAGGAAUUGAUUUCAAAACUGACGAGCUAGAGUACGGUAGAGGGUAGUGGAAUUUCCUGUGUAGCGGUGAAAUGCGUAGAUAUAGGAAGGAACAUCAGUGGCGAAGGCGACUACCUGGACUGAUACUGACACUGAGGUGCGAAAGCGUGGGGAGCAAACAGG
Molecule: ribosomal RNA, 424 nt
Filed under: uncultured bacterium
Lineage: Bacteria
Description: partial 16S ribosomal RNA
Rfam family: Bacterial small subunit ribosomal RNA
Source: RNAcentral